AGUUUGAUCAUGGCUCGAGAACGAACGCUGGCGGCGUGCCUAACACAUGCAAGUCGAACGUGAAAGGGCUUCGGCCUGAGUAAAGUGGCGCACGGGUGAGUAACGCGUGGGUAAUCUGCCUCUGGGCGGGGGAUAACGGGUCGAAAGACCCGCUAAUACCGCAUGAGACCACGGCCUUGCGGGGUUGUGGGAAAAGAUGGGGAUCUUCGGACCUGUCACCUAGAGAUGAGCCCGCGUACCAUUAGGUAGUUGGUGGGGUAAUGGCCCACCAAGCCGAAGAUGGUUAGCUGGUCUGAGAGGAUGAUCAGCCACACUGGAACUGAGACACGGUCCAGACUCCUACGGGAGGCAGCAGUGGGGAAUAUUGCGCAAUGGGGGAAACCCUGACGCAGCAACGCCGCGUGUGUGAUGAAGGCCUUCGGGUCGUAAAGCACUAUGAGGUGGAACGAGCCGCCGGGGGUUAAUACCCUUCGGCCCGACGGUACCACCAGAGGAAGCACCGGCUAACCCUGUG
This 514-nucleotide ribosomal RNA is filed under the name uncultured bacterium. RNAcentral describes it as "bacterial SSU rRNA". It matches the Rfam family "Bacterial small subunit ribosomal RNA", at positions 10 to 507 of the family's 1533-position model. The record is from RNAcentral.